GCAAACUUGGUCAUUUAGAGGAAGUAAAAGUCGUAACAAGGUUUCCGUAGGUGAACCUGCGGAAGGAUCAUUAAAGUAAUUUAUUUGGAUCAUCUUCGGAGAUUCAAAAAAUCUGACUUUGUGGUAUAAUUGAAAACUGUAUUGGAUUUAAAGAUGGUACCUUUAUAAAAAGGUAUCGAUCCAAGCUUUUUUAUCAACUCUCUUAUUAUUGGACUGAAUUUUAUCAAGUUAAACCUUAUUGGUUUAAAUAAAGUUUAAAUAACUUUCAACAACGGAUCUCUUGGUUCUCGCAUCGAUGAAGAACGCAGC
This 309-nucleotide unclassified non-coding RNA is filed under the name uncultured fungus. Its description in RNAcentral is "partial contains small subunit ribosomal RNA, internal transcribed spacer 1, and 5.8S ribosomal RNA". The stretch from base 1 to 73 matches the Rfam family "Eukaryotic small subunit ribosomal RNA", at positions 1759 to 1831 of the family's 1831-position model. The record is from RNAcentral. Lineage: Eukaryota; Fungi.